This 855-nucleotide ribosomal RNA is filed under the name Bacillus velezensis. RNAcentral describes it as "bacterial SSU rRNA". It matches the Rfam family "Bacterial small subunit ribosomal RNA", at positions 381 to 1229 of the family's 1533-position model. The record is from RNAcentral. Lineage: Bacteria; Bacillati; Bacillota; Bacilli; Caryophanales; Bacillaceae. RNAcentral also lists the same sequence under 1 other name.
GUCUGACGGAGCACGCCGCGUGAGUGAUGAAGGUUUUCGGAUCGUAAAGCUCUGUUGUUAGGGAAGAACAAGUGCCGUUCAAAUAGGGCGGCACCUUGACGGUACCUAACCAGAAAGCCACGGCUAACUACGUGCCAGCAGCCGCGGUAAUACGUAGGUGGCAAGCGUUGUCCGGAAUUAUUGGGCGUAAAGGGCUCGCAGGCGGUUUCUUAAGUCUGAUGUGAAAGCCCCCGGCUCAACCGGGGAGGGUCAUUGGAAACUGGGGAACUUGAGUGCAGAAGAGGAGAGUGGAAUUCCACGUGUAGCGGUGAAAUGCGUAGAGAUGUGGAGGAACACCAGUGGCGAAGGCGACUCUCUGGUCUGUAACUGACGCUGAGGAGCGAAAGCGUGGGGAGCGAACAGGAUUAGAUACCCUGGUAGUCCACGCCGUAAACGAUGAGUGCUAAGUGUUAGGGGGUUUCCGCCCCUUAGUGCUGCAGCUAACGCAUUAAGCACUCCGCCUGGGGAGUACGGUCGCAAGACUGAAACUCAAAGGAAUUGACGGGGGCCCGCACAAGCGGUGGAGCAUGUGGUUUAAUUCGAAGCAACGCGAAGAACCUUACCAGGUCUUGACAUCCUCUGACAAUCCUAGAGAUAGGACGUCCCCUUCGGGGGCAGAGUGACAGGUGGUGCAUGGUUGUCGUCAGCUCGUGUCGUGAGAUGUUGGGUUAAGUCCCGCAACGAGCGCAACCCUUGAUCUUAGUUGCCAGCAUUCAGUUGGGCACUCUAAGGUGACUGCCGGUGACAAACCGGAGGAAGGUGGGGAUGACGUCAAAUCAUCAUGCCCCUUAUGACCUGGGCUACACACGUGCUACA